GACGAACGUUGGCGGCGUGCUUAAUACAUGCAAGUCCACUGAAGCAGUGGUAGCAAUAUCGCUGUGGAGGUGGCGCACGGGUGAGUAACACGUAGGUAAUCUGCCUUCAGGUCUGGCAUAACUCCGGGAAACCGGGGCUAAUAGCAGAUGAUGCAGCGGCUCGACAUCGAGACAGUUGUUAAAGCUAUGGCGCCUGAAGAUGAGCCUGCGUCUGAUUAGCUAGUUGGCGGGGUAACGGCCCACCAAGGCAACGAUCAGUAGCUGGUCUGAGAGGAUGAUCAGCCACACUGGAACUGAGACACGGUCCAGACUCCUACGGGAGGCAGCAGUAAGGAAUAUUGCUCAAUGGGAGAAAUCCUGAAGCAGCAACGCCGCGUGAGGGACGAAGGGCUUUUGCUUGUAAACCUCUGUAGUUAGAGAAAAAAAUCCCAAUCUUUGGGACAUGAUGGUAGCUCAAAAGUAAGCCCCGGCUAACUACGUG
RNAcentral lists this ribosomal RNA (481 nucleotides) under uncultured bacterium. RNAcentral's name for it is "partial 16S ribosomal RNA". It matches the Rfam family "Bacterial small subunit ribosomal RNA", at positions 28 to 507 of the family's 1533-position model. The record is from RNAcentral.